GCCGAGGUGGCGAAAUUGGCAGACGCACUGCGUUCAGGUCGCAGCGAGAGCAAUCUCAUGAGGGUUCAAGUCCCUCCCUCGGCACCA
This 87-nucleotide transfer RNA is filed under the name Candidatus Tayloriibacteriota bacterium. RNAcentral's name for it is "tRNA-Leu". It matches the Rfam family "tRNA". Rfam says of the family: Transfer RNA (tRNA) molecules are approximately 80 nucleotides in length. The record is from RNAcentral. Lineage: Bacteria; Candidatus Tayloriibacteriota.